This 468-nucleotide ribosomal RNA is filed under the name uncultured bacterium. RNAcentral's name for it is "partial 16S ribosomal RNA". It matches the Rfam family "Bacterial small subunit ribosomal RNA", at positions 28 to 507 of the family's 1533-position model. The record is from RNAcentral.
GACGAACGCUGGCGGCGUGCUUAACACAUGCAAGUCGAACGGAAAGGCCCUGCUUUUGUGGGGUGCUCGAGUGGCGAACGGGGGAGUAACACGUGAGUAACCUGCCCUUGACUUUGGGAUAACUUCAGGAAACUGGGGCUAAUACCGGAUAGGAGCUCCUGCUGCAUGGUGGGGGUUGGAAAGUUUCGGCGGUUGGGGAUGGACUCGCGGCUUAUCAGCUUGUUGGUGGGGUAGUGGCUUACCAAGGCUUUGACGGGUAGCCGGCCUGAGAGGGUGACCGGCCACAUUGGGACUGAGAUACGGCCCAGACUCGUACGGGAGGCAGCAGUGGGGAAUAUUGCACAAUGGGCGGAAGCCUGAUGCAGCAACGCCGCGUGCGGGAUGACGGCCUUCGGGUUGUAAACCGCUUUCGCCUGUGACGAAGCGUGAGUGACGGUAAUGGGUAAAGAAGCACCGGCUAACUACGUG